Molecule: ribosomal RNA, 298 nt
Filed under: Anaerolineae bacterium
Lineage: Bacteria; Bacillati; Chloroflexota; Anaerolineae
Description: partial 16S ribosomal RNA
Rfam family: Bacterial small subunit ribosomal RNA
Source: RNAcentral
UUUGCGGAGAGUUUGAUCCUGGCUCAGGAUGAACGCUGGCGGCGUGCCUAACACAUGCAAGUCGAACGGACUCAAUUCUUAGGAUGAGAGUUAGUGGCGCACGGGUGAGUAACACGUAGGUGACCUACCCCAGAGCGGGGGACAACUUCUCGAAAGAGAAGCUAAUACCCCGUAUGUUCAACCAUUCGGUUGGUUGAGUAAAGCUCCGGCGCUCUGGGAGGGGCCUGCGUCCGAUUAGCUAGUUGGUGGGGUAAUGGCCUACCAAGGCGAUGAUCGGUAGCUGGUCUGAGAGGACGAU